CCUAUAAGCGCCAGGGAAUUACGAGCUAUGCUUAAAACCCAAAGGAUUUGACGGUGUCCCACCCCCCUAGAGGAGCCUGUUCUAUAAUCGAUGAUCCCCGCUACACCCGACCACUUCUUGCUUAUCAGUCUGUAUACCUCCGUCGAAAGCUUACCAUGUGAACGCCACCCACAGUAGGUUCAAUGACCCCCGUCAAUACGUCAGGUCAAGGUGCAGCUUAAGAAGUGGGAAGUGAUGGGCUACAAUUUCUAAUCUAGAACAAACGAAAGACUAUGUGAAACCCUAGUCACGAAGGCGGAUUUAGCAGUAAAAAGAAAAUAGAGUGUUCUUUUUAAUCUGGCUCUGGGACGCGUACACACCGCCCGUCACCUCCUU
RNAcentral lists this ribosomal RNA (375 nucleotides) under Odorrana yizhangensis. RNAcentral describes it as "partial 12S ribosomal RNA". It matches the Rfam family "Bacterial small subunit ribosomal RNA", at positions 857 to 1406 of the family's 1533-position model. Lineage: Eukaryota; Metazoa; Chordata; Amphibia; Anura; Ranidae. The record is from RNAcentral.